GCGCCCGUGGUGGAAUUGGCAGACACGAUGGAUUUAGGUUCCAUUGCGCAAGCGUGCAGGUUCAAGUCCUGUCGGGCGUACCA
This 83-nucleotide transfer RNA is filed under the name Bacillota bacterium. RNAcentral's name for it is "tRNA-Leu". It matches the Rfam family "tRNA". Rfam says of the family: Transfer RNA (tRNA) molecules are approximately 80 nucleotides in length. Their secondary structure includes four short double-helical elements and three loops (D, anti-codon, and T loops). RNAcentral also lists the same sequence under 1 other name. The record is from RNAcentral. Lineage: Bacteria; Bacillati; Bacillota.